RNAcentral lists this long non-coding RNA (237 nucleotides) under Manihot esculenta (cassava). RNAcentral describes it as "long non-coding RNA (MESC_LNC011499)". The record is from RNAcentral. Lineage: Eukaryota; Viridiplantae; Streptophyta; Magnoliopsida; Malpighiales; Euphorbiaceae.
UAGAUAGUGGUGAAAGGAUCAAAUCCACAGGGAAUUGAGAACUUACCUAUUUUCUUUAUCAAGACCAAUAAAAUAAACUGAAACAAAAAUAAACUGAAAAAGAAGAAAACUGAAAACGAGAUAAACUGAAACGAAAUAAAACUGAAACGAGAUAAAACUGAAAGAGAAAUAAACGGAAAGCAAAAUAAACUGAAACGAGAUAUAACGAGAUAAAACUGAAAGAGAAAUAAACGGAAA